ACCUACGGGGGGCAGCAGUAGGGAAUUUUCGUCAAUGGGCGCAAGCCUGAACGAGCAAUGCCGCGUGAACGAGGAAGGUCUUCGGAUCGUAAAGUUCUGUUGAAGGGGAAAAAGAGCGGAGAGAGGAAAUGCUUUCUGAUUGAUAUUACCCUUCGAGGAAGUCACGGCUAACUACGUGCCGACAGCCGCGGUAAUACGUAGGUGGCGAGCGUUAUCCGGAAUGAUUGGGCGUAAAGGGUGCGUAGGCGGCCUGCUAAGUCUGGAGUGAAAGGUACCGGCUCAACCGGUACAGGCUCUGGAAACUG
RNAcentral lists this ribosomal RNA (305 nucleotides) under uncultured bacterium. RNAcentral describes it as "bacterial SSU rRNA". It matches the Rfam family "Bacterial small subunit ribosomal RNA", at positions 337 to 635 of the family's 1533-position model. The record is from RNAcentral.